This 497-nucleotide ribosomal RNA is filed under the name uncultured bacterium. RNAcentral's name for it is "partial 16S ribosomal RNA". It matches the Rfam family "Bacterial small subunit ribosomal RNA", at positions 28 to 507 of the family's 1533-position model. The record is from RNAcentral.
GAUGAACGCUGGCGGCGUGCCUAAUACAUGCAAGUCGAGCGAACGGACGAGAAGCUUGCUUCUCUGAUGUUAGCGGCGGACGGGUGAGUAACACGUGGAUAACCUACCUAUAAGACUGGGAUAACUUCGGGAAACCGGAGCUAAUACCGGAUAAUAUUUUGAACCGCAUGGUUCAAAAGUGAAAGACGGUCUUGCUGUCACUUAUAGAUGGAUCCGCGCUGCAUUAGCUAGUUGGUAAGGUAACGGCUUACCAAGGCAACGAUGCAUAGCCGACCUGAGAGGGGGAUCGGCCACACGGGAACGGAGACACGGUCCAGACUCCUACGGGAGGCAGCAGUAGGGAAUCUGCCGCAAUGGGCGAAAGCCUGACGGAGCAACGCCGCGUGAGUGAUGAAGGUCUUCGGAUCGUAAAACUCUGUUAUUAGGGAAGAACAUAUGUGUAAGUAACUGUGCACAGCUUGACGGUACCUAAUCAGAAAGCCACGGCUAACUACGUG